RNAcentral lists this ribosomal RNA (1529 nucleotides) under Bacteroides fragilis. RNAcentral's name for it is "bacterial SSU rRNA". It matches the Rfam family "Bacterial small subunit ribosomal RNA". The record is from RNAcentral. Lineage: Bacteria; Pseudomonadati; Bacteroidota; Bacteroidia; Bacteroidales; Bacteroidaceae.
ACAAUGAAGAGUUUGAUCCUGGCUCAGGAUGAACGCUAGCUACAGGCUUAACACAUGCAAGUCGAGGGGCAUCAGGAAGAAAGCUUGCUUUCUUUGCUGGCGACCGGCGCACGGGUGAGUAACACGUAUCCAACCUGCCCUUUACUCGGGGAUAGCCUUUCGAAAGAAAGAUUAAUACCCGAUAGCAUAAUGAUUCCGCAUGGUUUCAUUAUUAAAGGAUUCCGGUAAAGGAUGGGGAUGCGUUCCAUUAGGUUGUUGGUGAGGUAACGGCCCACCAAGCCUUCGAUGGAUAGGGGUUCUGAGAGGAAGGUCCCCCACAUUGGAACUGAGACACGGUCCAAACUCCUACGGGAGGCAGCAGUGAGGAAUAUUGGUCAAUGGGCGCUAGCCUGAACCAGCCAAGUAGCGUGAAGGAUGAAGGCUCUAUGGGUCGUAAACUUCUUUUAUAUAAGAAUAAAGUGCAGUAUGUAUACUGUUUUGUAUGUAUUAUAUGAAUAAGGAUCGGCUAACUCCGUGCCAGCAGCCGCGGUAAUACGGAGGAUCCGAGCGUUAUCCGGAUUUAUUGGGUUUAAAGGGAGCGUAGGUGGACUGGUAAGUCAGUUGUGAAAGUUUGCGGCUCAACCGUAAAAUUGCAGUUGAUACUGUCAGUCUUGAGUACAGUAGAGGUGGGCGGAAUUCGUGGUGUAGCGGUGAAAUGCUUAGAUAUCACGAAGAACUCCGAUUGCGAAGGCAGCUCACUGGACUGCAACUGACACUGAUGCUCGAAAGUGUGGGUAUCAAACAGGAUUAGAUACCCUGGUAGUCCACACAGUAAACGAUGAAUACUCGCUGUUUGCGAUAUACAGUAAGCGGCCAAGCGAAAGCAUUAAGUAUUCCACCUGGGGAGUACGCCGGCAACGGUGAAACUCAAAGGAAUUGACGGGGGCCCGCACAAGCGGAGGAACAUGUGGUUUAAUUCGAUGAUACGCGAGGAACCUUACCCGGGCUUAAAUUGCAGUGGAAUGAUGUGGAAACAUGUCAGUGAGCAAUCACCGCUGUGAAGGUGCUGCAUGGUUGUCGUCAGCUCGUGCCGUGAGGUGUCGGCUUAAGUGCCAUAACGAGCGCAACCCUUAUCUUUAGUUACUAACAGGUUAUGCUGAGGACUCUAGAGAGACUGCCGUCGUAAGAUGUGAGGAAGGUGGGGAUGACGUCAAAUCAGCACGGCCCUUACGUCCGGGGCUACACACGUGUUACAAUGGGGGGUACAGAAGGCAGCUAGCGGGUGACCGUAUGCUAAUCCCAAAAGCCUCUCUCAGUUCGGAUCGAAGUCUGCAACCCGACUUCGUGAAGCUGGAUUCGCUAGUAAUCGCGCAUCAGCCACGGCGCGGUGAAUACGUUCCCGGGCCUUGUACACACCGCCCGUCAAGCCAUGGGAGCCGGGGGUACCUGAAGUACGUAACCGCAAGGAUCGUCCUAGGGUAAAACUGGUGACUGGGGCUAAGUCGUAACAAGGUAGCCGUACCGGAAGGUGCGGCUGGAACACCUCCUUU